RNAcentral lists this ribosomal RNA (253 nucleotides) under uncultured bacterium. Its description in RNAcentral is "partial 16S ribosomal RNA". It matches the Rfam family "Bacterial small subunit ribosomal RNA", at positions 524 to 776 of the family's 1533-position model. The record is from RNAcentral.
UACGAAGGGGGCUAGCGUUGUUCGGAAUCACUGGGCGUAAAGGGCGCGUAGGCGGCUUUGUAAGUCGGGGGUGAAAGCCUGUGGCUCAACCACAGAAUCGCCUUCGAUACUGCAUGGCUUGAGACCGGAAGAGGUAAGUGGAACUGCGAGUGUAGAGGUGAAAUUCGUAGAUAUUAGGAAGAACACCAGUGGCGAAGGCGGCUCACUGGCCCGGUACUGACGCUGAGGUGCGAAAGCGUGGGGAGCAAACAGG